AGGCAGACAGCGGCGGCGAGGCGCGCAGCGGCGGCGCAGGCGCGGAGAGGCGCUGGCGCCGGCUCUGGCGCGGAGAGGUGCAGGCCCAGGCUCCACUCCCCAGCUGUGAAAGGGUAAGAACCGAGGGUGGCUGAGACUCGGGGUUGUUCAGGGCGGGGUGGGCUCUGGACCCAGCAGGCCCGGCACCCAGGUCAGGGCUCCAGGGGAGGCCAGGUGGGCGAAGGCCAAGAAGGGGCUGGGGCUGGUCAGGAAGGGCUCCUGGUGACCAGAGCACUUUGCGUGAGCCAGCGUGGGAGGAAGGUGGGCUAGAUGAGCCAGGGAGGCGCCGGGAGGGGCCUUGGCAGAGGCGACCCCCUCCGUCACCCCCAGGCCACUGAACCCUGGGUAGCGAGAACCGACAGGGGAGGCUGCAGACAGAGGAGUGGAGGCUCCCCGGCUUUGGGGGCUCUGAGUAGAAGCAUCUAGGGGGUCCCUCAAGAGGCCCCCAAACGCUUCCCCAUGGUGAGAAAAGAAGGCGCAGAGAGGGGCACGGCGCCGGCGCAGAGGGGCACACAGCGAGAUUUGCUGUGAGUUCUUUUAUUGCCCCAAGUGUACCUCAUCUUGGUAGAUUUCUAUUGGCUUUAAAAAUGUGUGUGUUUUGCUGUUGGGGAGUGGGGUGUUAUACGGAUGUCAGAUUUUGCUGGUUGACUGUUCAGAUCUUUUGUAAAUCCUUGCUCCUUUUCUGCCUAGUUUCACUCUGUCACUUACACUAGAGUGCGGUGGCACGAACAUGACUCACUGCAGCCUUGACUUCCUAGGGUCAAGUACUCCCCCUGGCUUAAUCUCCUGAGUAGCUGGUACUAUAGGUGUGUGCCGCCACACCUGGCUAAAUUUAAAAUUUUUUGGAGAGAUGAGGCCUUGCUAUGUUGCCCAGGCUCGAACUCCUGGCCUCAAGCUAUCCUUUGUUUUUGCCUCCCAGAGUUCUGGGAUUACAGGCAUGAGCCACUGUGCCCGGCCUCUGCCUAGUUUUAACAGUUGCUAAGAGGAGGAUGUUGAAGUAGAUGUCUUCUUGGUGGGUUAAUCCUUUUGUCAUUAAGCAGUUGUUAUGGUCACUUCCUUUUCACCCCAUUGGUGAAGGAGGGGUCCCUGCCCUAAAGUGUAGGAGAUGGCCGAACAUGACACCUGGCGUGGAUGGAUGAGAUUGACAGCAGUGUUUUAGUCGCAUAUACCCACAGCUCGGAGGAGGACACUGCAUGCCACACAGGGUUUUCUGCCUCCUGCUAAGCCAAUUUAUACAUUCCAAGAAAAUCUUCCAUUUCAUCCAGGUGAAACGGAACCUACUGGAAUGAAGCUGGCCUCCCAUGGAAUGAAGCUGGCCUCCCGUCUCCUUGAUUUGAAGCAGCUUCUCCACGUUGGUUAUUAUGCCAUUUUUCUAAAUCUAACAUUUUAAAAUUUGUGCCUUUUCUUUCUCUUUUGCUUGACUUCUCAGAGGUUUUUUUAACGGUCUUUUCAAAGAAGUGGUUUUGGGUUUUAUUUAUCAAGUCUACUUUUAUUAUGGCUGUUUUAAAAUUAAAUACAUUUAUUUCUUGUUUCCCUU
RNAcentral lists this long non-coding RNA (1576 nucleotides) under Homo sapiens (human). RNAcentral describes it as "HSALNT0304050". Lineage: Eukaryota; Metazoa; Chordata; Mammalia; Primates; Hominidae. The record is from RNAcentral.